This 256-nucleotide long non-coding RNA is filed under the name Amborella trichopoda. RNAcentral describes it as "long non-coding RNA (ATRI_LNC003589)". The record is from RNAcentral. Lineage: Eukaryota; Viridiplantae; Streptophyta; Magnoliopsida; Amborellales; Amborellaceae.
AAAAAAACAAACAAAAAAAAACAAAAAAUUCAAUCGUGGAUUACAAAAAAAGAAAAAAACAAUUCGAUCAUGGAUUACAAAAAAUUCAAUCAUGGAUUACAAAAAACUCUAUCAUGGGUUACAAAAAAAGCAAAAAACAAAAAAUUCGAUCGUGGAUUACAAAAAAAAAACAAACAUUUCGAUCAUGGAUUACAAAAAAAACAAACAUUUCGAUCAUGUAUUACAAAACAUUCGAUCAUGGAUUACAAAAAAUUCU